UUUACCAGAGGUGCUGGAGUUUCCCAGGAACGACAGAUAUGAACUUCCUGCAUGUUCUGGAAUGACUCACCGUGAUUUAAACUCCCCCGCUUUAACAUGAGGAAAUCCAUAUAUUUUUUUGGUGCAUGAGUCACAAGAAUUUCAGGAAGAAAAAUUAUAAACUGCGACAAAACUAUGAUGAAUUAAGAUGAACAAUGGAGUCCAGCUGGAACAGUUGUCCUUUGAAGACUUCACUUAGGUUGCUGCCAC
RNAcentral lists this long non-coding RNA (249 nucleotides) under Fukomys damarensis (Damara mole-rat). Its description in RNAcentral is "lncRNA (ENSFDAG00000027340.1)". Lineage: Eukaryota; Metazoa; Chordata; Mammalia; Rodentia; Bathyergidae. The record is from RNAcentral.